ACUCCUACGGGAGGCAGCAGUGGGGAAUCUUGGACAAUGGGGGCAACCCUGAUCCAGCCAUGCCGCGUGAGUGAUGAAGGCCUUAGGGUCGUAAAGCUCUUUCGCCUGUGAUGAUAAUGACAGUAGCAGGUAAAGAAACCCCGGCUAACUCCGUGCCAGCAGCCGCGGUAAUACGGAGGGGUUAGCGUUGUUCGGAAUUACUGGGCGUAAAGCGCGCGUAGGCGGAUUAGUCAGUUAGAGGUGAAAUCCCAGGGCUCAACCCUGGAACUGCCUUUAAUACUGCUAGUCUUGAGUUCGAGAGAGGUGAGUGGAAUUCCGAGUGUAGAGGUGAAAUUCGUAGAUAUUCGGAGGAACACCAGUGGCGAAGGCGGCUCACUGGCUCGAUACUGACGCUGAGGUGCGAAGUGU
Molecule: ribosomal RNA, 408 nt
Filed under: uncultured bacterium
Lineage: Bacteria
Description: bacterial SSU rRNA
Rfam family: Bacterial small subunit ribosomal RNA
Source: RNAcentral